Molecule: ribosomal RNA, 252 nt
Filed under: uncultured bacterium
Lineage: Bacteria
Description: partial 16S ribosomal RNA
Rfam family: Bacterial small subunit ribosomal RNA
Source: RNAcentral
UACAGAGGUCCCGAGCGUUGUUCGGAUUCACUGGGCGUAAAGGGUGCGUAGGUGGUGAGGUAAGUCGGAUGUGAAAUCUCCGAGCUCAACUCGGAAAUGGCAUUGGAAACUACCUUGCUCGAGGGUUGGAGGGGGACUGGAAUGCUUGGUGUAGCAGUGAAAUGCGUAGAUAUCAAGCGGAACACCAGUGGCGAAGGCGAGUCCCUGGACAACUCCUGACACUGAGGCACGAAAGCUAGGGGAGCAAACAGG